CCUACGGGGGGCUGCAGUGGGGAAUAUUGGACAAUGGGCGAAAGCCUGAUCCAGCCAUGCCGCGUGUGUGAAGAAGGCCUUCGGGUUGUAAAGCACUUUCAGUGGGGAAGAAAGCCUUGGGGCUAAUACCCUCGAGGAAGGACAUCACCCACAGAAGAAGCACCGGCUAACUCCGUGCCAGCAGCCGCGGUAAUACGGAGGGUGCGAGCGUUAAUCGGAAUUACUGGGCGUAAAGCGCGCGUAGGCGGUCUGAUAAGCCGGUUGUGAAAGCCCCGGGCUCAACCUGGGAACGGCAUCCGGGAAGGGAACGGAGAGGGGGAGGGGGGGGAGGAAAGAAUCCCGGGGUGGAGGGGGAAAGGGGGAGAGAGCGGGAGAAGUCCGAGGGGCGGAGGCGGCCUUGGGCAAGGCCACAGACGCGGGGGGGAGAAGGGUUGGGUAGCAAACGGGAUUAGAGACCUGGGUAGUC
RNAcentral lists this ribosomal RNA (466 nucleotides) under Vreelandella stevensii. RNAcentral's name for it is "partial 16S ribosomal RNA". It matches the Rfam family "Bacterial small subunit ribosomal RNA", at positions 338 to 795 of the family's 1533-position model. Lineage: Bacteria; Pseudomonadati; Pseudomonadota; Gammaproteobacteria; Oceanospirillales; Halomonadaceae. The record is from RNAcentral.